ACGGGAGGGGCAAGCGUUAUCCGAAAUUAUUGGGCGUAAAGUGUCCGUAGACUGUAAUAUAAGUUAUUUGUUAAAUUUUAAAGCUUAACUUUAAAAUAGCAUUUAAUACUGUUUUACUUGAGUUUUAUACAGAAAAAUAGAAUUUCAAAUGUAGGAGUAAUUUCCAUAGAUAUGUGAAGGAACACCAAUAGCGAAAGCAAUUUUUUAGUAAAAACUGACGUUGAGGGACGAAAGUAUAGGUAGCAAACAGG
RNAcentral lists this ribosomal RNA (251 nucleotides) under uncultured bacterium. Its description in RNAcentral is "partial 16S ribosomal RNA". It matches the Rfam family "Bacterial small subunit ribosomal RNA", at positions 525 to 776 of the family's 1533-position model. The record is from RNAcentral.